CAGACUUCUUUGAGAAAACUAACAUAAUACUUAAGUAUUAUUAGAGUCUAGUACCUCCUCAAAGCUU
Molecule: transfer RNA, 67 nt
Filed under: Sminthopsis douglasi (Julia Creek dunnart)
Lineage: Eukaryota; Metazoa; Chordata; Mammalia; Dasyuromorphia; Dasyuridae
Description: transfer RNA-Lys
Source: RNAcentral